UCCGUAGGUGGAUAAUUAAGUCAGGGGUGAAAGUCUGCAGCUCAACUGUAGAAUUGCCCUUGAUACUGGUUGUCUUGAGUCAUUAUGAAGUAGUUAGAAUAUGUAGUGUAGCGGUGAAAUGCAUAGAUAUUACAUAGAAUACCAAUUGCGAAGGCAGAUUACUAAUAAUGUACUGACACUGAUGGACGAAAGCGUGGGGAGCAAACAGGAUUAGAUACCCUGGUAGUCC
This 229-nucleotide ribosomal RNA is filed under the name uncultured bacterium. RNAcentral's name for it is "partial 16S ribosomal RNA". It matches the Rfam family "Bacterial small subunit ribosomal RNA", at positions 568 to 796 of the family's 1533-position model. The record is from RNAcentral.